Long non-coding RNA from Sycon ciliatum, 1093 nucleotides. RefSeq lists it as uncharacterized. The transcript is spliced from 4 exons. NCBI's taxonomy places the organism in Eukaryota, Metazoa, Porifera, Calcarea, Leucosolenida, Sycettidae. The record is from RefSeq and is a predicted model, not a curated record.
ACAACAACGCAGAUGCCCUCUCAUACCUCCCUGACUUUUUGCAGCAGUUGACGUGAUUUGGCUUCUGGUGCCAGCUAUUCCGACGGGUACAACCGCCAAGUUUGCUAGACACUGGCACGUACCAUACAUAGUCGAAGAGAAGCUCUCAGCUGCCACCUACCGCAUCAAGCUGUCAGAGCCCACGGCAUAUCGCCUGAUAGUGCACGUCAACCGACUGAAAGUUUGCCAUCAUCCACCGAGUCGGCUACAGGAGGUCCACGAGCAGGAUGAGUCGGAACCACCGCAGCCCAUGGCGUCCACCCUGACUCCUACCUACCAGCCAGAUGCCACUGAUAUCGCCGCCCGAGACGAGGAGGACACCACUCGGGUAGUUGCCAGUUGGCGUGAUGGAAAGGCGAUCCCCGCGUUUCCGCCAUCCACCCCAGCUGUUUGGGAGUCCGGUGUGGCACGACUUCAGUGAUGGCAAGUUGGAAGUCAUGGGUUUAUAUUCGUCUUUGCAUAUAGCUCGUUUGCAAAUCUCCCUAGGUGACCCGUUACGACUUGGUCAGGCCGAAUCUGUGAAACCGCAGUUGAAAAGCGGAGUGGCCUCUGUCAAUCGUCAAGGUGUGUGUGAGACCGUGUGAAACAGUCGGCUUUCAAGAUUUCUGCCCACCGGAUGUUAUGCAGCGUACCUCAAAAUGACUGUACACAGAUGCAAUUGACCUAUGUGCAGUACCCAGCGGUGGUCUGCUAUGCAGCGUCACCGGCUAUCACCACGCCGUCGCAAGGACACAGUUCGCCAUGUUCAACGUUAGUAUCGUGCUAGCGACGAUCAGGCAGAGGAUGACGCUCAAUAAUACACCCGUGUGAAGAAGGUGCAAAAUGAACGUAAUUUCUCAAGACUAGCGAUCAACAUGCGGUGACUGUCCGCUAAUCACGAUCUUGACGAUUUGUUGGUACAAUGUGGUUGGCAUCUCCCCUAGCUCUUCUGACUUCUGUUUGCUUUUUCUUGUGCUUACGUUGUACUGCUGCUGCUGCUGCUGUUGCGUCAGCUUCUUGUUGUUGUGCAAUGCCUUAGUGCCUUUUGUCCCCCCCCCCCCCCCCCCCACACACA